Molecule: long non-coding RNA, 528 nt
Filed under: Anas platyrhynchos platyrhynchos (common mallard)
Lineage: Eukaryota; Metazoa; Chordata; Aves; Anseriformes; Anatidae
Description: lncRNA (ENSAPLG00000022585.1)
Source: RNAcentral
UUGUCAUUGUUGUUUGUUGUUGUUGAUUUUUUUUUCCUUUGCUGACUUCCUAAAAUAUUCUAAACUCUUCUUUAAUUCUUCGUCUAUAGACUUUGUUGAGGACCCAUUACAAUCAACAGAAAUUGCUACACUUCUGUCUAGUAAGGAUUUGUUUCUCCUUCUACUGACUUAUGGAAUUUUUAGCACUGGACUGAACUGUUGAGAAAUACACGUAAAUGUACUUUGGAACAGUUCAGCCUACUCUUGCUCCAUACAGAUAUCUCCACCUGCACUUUCCUGAGACAGUCAUCCAACAAUUAAAGGCCUUCUGCAGAAGAAAGAUUUGAUGUUUGUUUCCUGAGUGAAAGCGAUUAGACAUUUCAUGAAACAACUGCACGCUACAGUCACUGGUAAGUUGUUUGACUAAAUGGUGGCAUUAACUUCAAGAAUUUUCAGAUUCUGUUCUCUUGCUGUUUACACUUACUUUCUUAUCAUAAAGGACAUAUGGGGGAGAUAAAGAUUGCAAUAAACUAUGUAUUAAGAAAGACA